Molecule: transfer RNA, 67 nt
Filed under: Bicellonychia lividipennis
Lineage: Eukaryota; Metazoa; Arthropoda; Insecta; Coleoptera; Lampyridae
Description: tRNA-Ser
Source: RNAcentral
AGUUAAUGAACUUGUAUAAGUAUAUAUUUUGAAAAUAUAAAAAAGAGGUAUAGUCCUCUAUUAACUU